UGUGUAGGCGGCUACGCAAGUCGGAUGUGAAAUCCCCGGGCUCAACCCGGGAAGUGCACCCGAAACUGCGUGGCUUGAGUACCGGAGAGGUUGGUGGAAUUCUCGGUGUAGAGGUGGAAUUCGUAGAUAUCGAGAGGAACACCGGUGGCGAAGGCGGCCAACUGGACGCGUACUGACGCUGAGACACGAAAGCGUGGGGAGCAAACAGGAUUAGAUACCCUGGUAGUCCACGCCGUAAACGAUGGGUGCUAGGUGUCACGGGCUUUGACUCCUGUGGUGCCGUAGCCAACGCAUUAAGCACCCCGCCUGGGAAGUACGGCCGCAAGGCUAAA
Molecule: ribosomal RNA, 332 nt
Filed under: uncultured bacterium
Lineage: Bacteria
Description: bacterial SSU rRNA
Rfam family: Bacterial small subunit ribosomal RNA
Source: RNAcentral